CUUGCUAUUUUGCUGACGAGUGGCGCACGGGUGAGUAAACUAUAGUUAAUGUACCCCAAAGACUGGGAUAGCCACUGGAAACGGUGAUUAAUACUAGAUACACCUUCUUAUCAUAAGGUAAGAAGGGAAAUGUCUUUUCGCUUUGGGAUCAGACUAUAUCCUAUCAGCUAGUUGGUGAGGUAAUGGCUCACCAAGGCAAUGACGGGUAGCGGUUCUGAGAGGAUGAUCCGCCACACUGGUACUGAGACACGGACCAGACUCCUACGGGAGGCAGCAGUGAGGAAUAUUGCACAAUGGGGGGAACCCUGAUGCAGCAACGCCGCGUGGAGGAUGACGCAUUUCGGUGUGUAAACUCCUUUUAUAUGUCAAGAAAAUGACGGUAGCAUAUGAAUAAGCACCGGCUAACUCCGUGCCAGCA
RNAcentral lists this ribosomal RNA (418 nucleotides) under uncultured bacterium. Its description in RNAcentral is "bacterial SSU rRNA". It matches the Rfam family "Bacterial small subunit ribosomal RNA", at positions 75 to 513 of the family's 1533-position model. The record is from RNAcentral.